This is a long non-coding RNA of Girardinichthys multiradiatus, 2327 nucleotides long. RefSeq lists it as uncharacterized. The record is from RefSeq and is a predicted model, not a curated record. The transcript is spliced from 3 exons. Lineage: Eukaryota; Metazoa; Chordata; Actinopteri; Cyprinodontiformes; Goodeidae.
UGUCUAUGGUUAAGGGCAGGGGAGCUGGAUUAAGAUUGAUGGGAAGAUGGUGUGAGGUAAACAUUGUCAUGUUCCUGAUGUGUUUGUUUGUUCUUGUGAGCAGAGAAUCUCUCCUGGAAGGCGUGGCCAGCCGGCUGCAGAUAGCGCAACAGUUCCUAAUUCUUCUCAUCUGCUGCUAUGUAUAUAUGGAGCUGCAGUACAACCAUUCUUUGCUUGAUGGUCCAAUAUAUUUGGUAUAUUCUAGCCUUUAAGCGUUGAAGUUACCUCAUCAGUCCUGGAUAUUACUUUACCUUUUACCUUCGUGUCACCACCAUGACCGCUCGGUCCAAGAAUCUUCCUUGCUCCACGGUCAUCCCAUGCAGCUCCUUUUUCACAUCUCCCUGCCGGCUCACUAGCUCUCUGCUCACUCCUGCAAACAAAAAACUCACCCACUCAAAUCAUCCCAAACUCCUCCUGGAACAAGACAAACCAUGCUAAAUCAUCAGCAAUACAGACUCAGCAUCAACCCCUCCUUCAUUGCUUUGCUCCAACCGCCAAGCAACCCUGCAGAGCUCCCAGGUUCCCACACUUCCCAGUUCCGUUCCAAAAUUGUUCUUGUAAACAAAUUCUCCUUGUAUUCUACUACCAGUAUUCUGUCAGUGAUUCUGCAUGCAGGUCAGGAAAUUAGAAAUUAGGUGAGACAAAAACACUGGUGGAGGUUGUGGAGGACUUGAGACUGGCGUGUAGGUUCACCUUGCUGCAGGUCAAAGCUUACCUGUGUGUUAAAAUUGUCUCAGUUCAGAGAUAAAUCCAACUGAGAAUAUAUACCAAGAAUUUAAAAUUGCUCAAAUUUGACUGAACAUAGCAUAUUUUAUGUUAUAUAUCUCAUAUUAUAUAUACGAGAUAAUAAAAUUCAGUCAGGGGAAGUAAGUACAUAUUUUUUAGAUACUUUUCAAAAAUAAUGGAAAAAUGUCCAUGGUUUUCCUCAUACUUCAACAAAAUAUGUUAGAUAUGUUGGUUUGUUGCAUAAAAUUCUAAUAAAUUAAAUCAAAGUUAUAUAUUACAUAGAUAUUACAUGAACUGUGACACGCAUGUUUUGAACUAUAGAAAGAAGGAGGAGAACCAGAAAAAACAGUAUGCAUGUACUCCAACUCAACACAGAAAGGCCUCUUGCAAGGUUUAAAAUGUGGUAAUAAUUGCUGUUUAGUGAGUGCUUACCAACACCCUACUGUCCAGUCCUAAUGAACAACAACAUUACUUCCUUCUGAAGUAAAAAAAAAAGUAGUUAAAAUCAUACUUUGUUUGGGGGUUUGAGAUUACAUUAUUGUUGACUCUGCAAAACUAUCAUCGUGUUAACCUGAAAUAUCAAAGUUGUUUUUACAAACAUUCCUUCAGUGACCUCCAAGGAAAAAAAACUUUUAACAGUGAAUAUCCUGUUUCCUGCUUGAAUCUGUUGUUUAUUUCUCAUGCUACUCUGUGCUUAUUUUUUCUGAGGCUUUAUAAUUAUCUUUGAUUGGCUUUUCUGCUAAACAAGAUAGCAAAGCUGGAGAAAAAGAUAAACUUCUUGGGAAUUUUGAGUGUUGAGUGUGUAAGUAUACAAGUUGAUAUAUUUUGCCUGUGUAGUCCUAAGCAUAUGCAGUGUUGUGAAAAAGUAUUUGUAUUCUGUUUUUACCACACCUUAAUGUGUCAGACUGAGCAAACAGGGAAGUGCUCAAGGCUAAAUCCGCUCCUGACCACAAAGAAAACGAGUGCUUGUCUCACGUUUACCAGUAGAACAUCUUGAUGAUCCCCAAAACUUUUGUGAAAAUGUUCUGUGGAGUAAAGAAAGAGAUUUUUACUUUUUUAAAGGUGUUACAUAAGGUGUGAUAAAAAUAUCACAGCAUUUAAGAAAAGAACAUAAUACCUACAGUCAAACAUAGUGGUGAUAGUGUGAUGAUCUGGGGCUGCUUUGCUGCUUUAGAAUGUGGGUGACUGGGAACAAUGAAUCUUGCUGACUACCAGAAAAUCCUGAAGGAGAAUGUCCAGAAUGUCUGCUUGUGACCUUAAACAGAAGCCCACAUGGGUUAUGCAGUAGGACAGUGACAUAAAGCACACCAGGAGGCCCACUUUUGAAUUACUUAAAAGAGCAAAAUAAAUGUUUUGAAGUUGCCAAGUCAAAGUCCAGACUUAAGACCAAUUGAUCUGUUGAGGCGUGACCUCAAACAGGCCAUUCAUGCCUGAAAAUCCUACAACAUAGCUGAACAAAACUGAAAAGGGGAAAUACUUUUUGACAGCACAGUACUGCUUUUAUAUAUAUGUAUAGUAUUUUAAAUUCAAAUGUAAAUAAAAAAUAAACCAAAUGUUCCUUA